UUUUGGUAGAUUUUAAGGGAGUCAUGGUGUGCAAAAAUCAUGUCAUUAUCUUUGAUUCAAUAUGGCGAUAAUAGCGUGCAUCAAUCUCUCAGAGGUGUUUGGGAUCCCAGAAUUAUGUGAAGGUGGCCAGUCGAUGUUGCCGAGAACGGAUAGUAUGUAUAAAAAGCCAACUAUCCCUGCAAUCAUAUUUAUUUAUACGAGCGUUGCAAUAAGCACACCAAAUUGAAGGACCAGAGAUUUAAAUGGAUUUUCAAGCGUCUGGCGGUCAAAGCAAAUUAUUCUUGGAUGAAGGAAUAAUUAGGAAAGGAAAGCCAUUCUCUAAGGAACUGACCGCCAAAAAGUCAGAAACUACAAACGAUGAAUUUGUACGUACACACCCAAUUAAUUGCUUUGUAUCGAACAAAAAAUGUUAUAUAUUCUCUCUUCCAUUUUCUCAGUUUUUUGUUUUAUUGAAUGAAAAACACUAAAUAAAGAUGCAAAGAAAAAUAAAACAAAACUUUAAUUAUGUAUGCAAAUGCCUCUCCGAAUUCACGUAAAUGCUACUAAAAAUUCAGUUAAAUGUUACCAAAAAAUCACUUAAAAGUUGAGUAAUCAUCAACGUAAGUAUUAUCGACGGAACCGGUGAAAGCUACGUGACAAUACGGUAAGUUUCACCAUCAUCACAUGAAU
Molecule: long non-coding RNA, 669 nt
Organism: Armigeres subalbatus
Lineage: Eukaryota; Metazoa; Arthropoda; Insecta; Diptera; Culicidae
Exons: 3
Source: RefSeq, a predicted model, not a curated record